Molecule: ribosomal RNA, 497 nt
Filed under: uncultured bacterium
Lineage: Bacteria
Description: partial 16S ribosomal RNA
Rfam family: Bacterial small subunit ribosomal RNA
Source: RNAcentral
GAUGAACGCUGGCGGCGUGCCUAAUACAUGCAAGUCGAGCGGACGGACGAUAAGCUUGCUUCUCUGAUGUUAGCGGCGGACGGGUGAGUAACACGUGUAUAACCUACCUAUAAGACUGGGAUAACUUCGGGACACCGGAGCUAAUACCGGAUAAUCUUUUGAACCGCAUGGUUCAAAAGUGAAAGUCGGUCUUGCUGUCACUUAUAGAUGGAUCCGCGCUGCAUUAGCUAGUUGGUAAGGUAACGGCUUACCAAGGCAACGAUGCGUAGCCGACCUGAGGGGGUGAUAGGCCACACUGGAACGUGGCCACGGACCAGACUCCUACGAGAGGCAGCAGUAGGGAAUCUUACGCAGAGGGCGAAAGCCUGACGGAGCAACGCCGCGUGAGUGAUGACGGUCUUCGGAUCGUAAAGCUCUGUUAUUAGGGAAGAACAUAUGUGUACGUAACUGUGCACAUCUUGACGGUACCUAAUCAGAAAGCCACGGCUAACUACGUG